RNAcentral lists this ribosomal RNA (253 nucleotides) under uncultured bacterium. RNAcentral's name for it is "partial 16S ribosomal RNA". It matches the Rfam family "Bacterial small subunit ribosomal RNA", at positions 524 to 776 of the family's 1533-position model. The record is from RNAcentral.
UACAGAGGAGCCAAGCGUUGUCCGGAUUGACUGGGCGUAAAGCGCACGCAGGCGGAUGCGCGCGUGGGGUGUGAAAUCUGGCCGCUUAACGGCCAGGCGCCAUCCCAUACGGCGCGUCUGGAGCCUUGCAGAGGUCGGUGGAAUUGCCGGUGUAGUGGUGAAAUGCGUAGAGAUCGGGAGGAACAUCAGUUGCGAAGGCGGCUCUCUGGACCAGCACUGACACUGAGGCACGAAAGCGUGGGGAGCAAACAGG